Molecule: non-coding RNA, 163 nt
Organism: Danio rerio (zebrafish)
Lineage: Eukaryota; Metazoa; Chordata; Actinopteri; Cypriniformes; Danionidae
Source: RefSeq, a predicted model, not a curated record
UUGCAGAAGAAAACUAGAAGAAAUUUUCAACAUGUUAAUUCAAAGGUCAUCUGGCAGCAGUUCUCCAGGGUCUUUCAGUCCUUUAGAGGGAUGAGUCUAAAGAAAUUUUCAGGAUGUGUUUUGAUGUAAUUGUAGAGUCGGACUUCAGUGCAGAAGAUGUUGG